UAGGCUCAAGUGUGUGAAAACUGGGGGUGUUACAGUUUCGCAAUUUCUUCUUUCUCGUCGGUUGUUGGUUCUCCUUCGCAUAGUAGCAAAGGUCGCCGGUUCUCCUUCGUACACCAAGUACACCUCCGCCGAUGGCUGUGAAGAAUGAUGCCAGAGGCUUGCCAGAAGAUUUCCACCGCUGCUGUCAUCCAGAUCUGUUCGCAUUUGCUUACAACUUUUGAUAAAAAGGAUCUCUGCUCAGAAGGAAAAGAAUACCAACACUUGAAUAAAGAAAAAUGACCUUGAGCAUUUUUAGUGACAUUGCAAAGCAAUGCAGAGAUCAUGGUUUAAAGCACUGUGGCAAGUAUUCCAUUCCUGUUCUAACUUCUAAGCUUGCAAGGACACAAGCAGCAGUUGCCAUUCAAUUCGUUUCUCCUUCUCCGAUUCACACAGCAGCGGUAGUUGUUCGUUUCUCCUUCAUUAGGUAGAGGAUCAAGGACCAAGAUAUUGGACUUAAGGCUGUUAUAGUCCUCAUUGAAUCCUUGCAAGAAGCGGAUGACUUGAUCUACAUCAUGUUCUUUUCUGAUUUGAGUAACUAGGUCACAUGAACACUUCGGAUCGCAUCUGCAACACGGAAGUGGCCUUAGUGCGUUCAUCCUUUCCCAUAAGAGCAGCAAUUUUCUGGGCGUCGCAUUGAGAGAAACGACGUUCCAAAUCCUCCCAGAUUUCUUUGGCCUUAUCUAAAUGCAUGAUGCUUUGCGCAAUAAUAGGAUGAACAAAUUUAAAAAACCAUGAACAUACCAUGAGAUUGCAUCGCCUCCAAGCAACGAACUGGAAAUGGUCUCUGGCCGGCGCGAUGAUGCUCCCGUCGACGAUACACCAUUUAUUCUUCACUUCUAGAGCGGUUCUCAUUGAAAUACUCUAGGAUCCAUAGUUCACGCUGCCUAGCAGACUAACUAGCACAUUGUUCGGAUUGUCACUGCAGCUAAAGAAGAACGGAUUAUCGAGAUCCUCCAUGCUCUGAGUUCUCUGUUGCUGGAAUAGGCUCCUCUGCAGAGUUCGAUUCCUUUGUGGAGUUGCAGUGGAUGUUGCAUGCGUCGAUGAGUGUGCGAUCGGCGCCGAUCCUACAGGCGUCUAUUGUUCUGGCUCACCGGUGACCACAGCGGCGUAAGAGCUGUAUUUGUUCAUCUUGCCGGAGCUAAGCCGUAGGGCUCUGAUACCAUGACGUGAAGUACGAAGAGGAGAGAGAGAGAAAGUAAACUUGUUUUAUUCAAUGUGUCAACAACAGAAGCCAGGAGAAAGCAUUUGUACAAAGGGAAUUGGAGGUCUGUAGAUUGCUUCAGAUUAGGUUGCUAUGCCUGCUGAUGCUGAUUUCUUUUGCCUAUCACCGGGAGACAAAAAUGAAGUAAGUUUC
Molecule: long non-coding RNA, 1393 nt
Organism: Ipomoea nil (Japanese morning glory)
Lineage: Eukaryota; Viridiplantae; Streptophyta; Magnoliopsida; Solanales; Convolvulaceae
Exons: 6
Source: RefSeq, a predicted model, not a curated record